Molecule: long non-coding RNA, 1206 nt
Organism: Raphanus sativus (radish)
Lineage: Eukaryota; Viridiplantae; Streptophyta; Magnoliopsida; Brassicales; Brassicaceae
Exons: 7
Source: RefSeq, a predicted model, not a curated record
AUAUGUAAUUAUUUUGAGAUUUGUCUGCUGUGAACUACUCUUAACUGUUAAUCCCCACCACCACGCAAAACGCAUCCGCCAUCAUAACGCUCGCAGCGGUAGUAUGUUCCUGGAGAGUCUGCAAAAGGGUUACCAGUUGUUUUUUGGGUGGGAGAUCGAGUAAAAUUAGUUUUGAUUGUCACUGCACUCUGAAGAAACGAACGUAUACGGAAUCGACAAGGUUUUCCCGAAAGGUUAUUGUCGUUAGUGAUGCUAUCAGAGCUUUGAUAAAAUGAUUUUUCUGAUUUUGAGUGUUUCUCUUCAGAUGGAAGAAUCAAAGAAGAACCCAAUAGUAUCUAUUAAAUAUACAUCUCUAGCAAACGAUGCUUAUAUGGGUCACCAGUAGGUUAAAGCAAUGAAAGGGCUACAUAAGUUUGGUAUACACGGCGGGUUACAUCAUCCAUCAUACGUAACCGGCCAAAGAAUUAUUUUUCAAAACCUUCGUUUCCAUUGGAGACGGAGACGAUAGUGGAAGUGAAAAUUCUUCUGAGUAGCCAUCUGCGAGCUCAUCUGCUUCUUCUUGGGAGGAUAUAUGGAGACCAGAACAGCUCCUAUCACUAGGUCAUCCAUUUGCAAGUCCUGCACCAGCCUAUAAUCCUCAAUAAAAAACUCAGAAGAAUCUUCAGAGCAAGUAUUCACUGAUUGGUGAUAACUAACACUCCAUCGAUGAGGUUUGAAUUGCACAAACUUCUUUUGUCUUAGUUUGUGUGAGUUUAUGUCUAUUGGCGUUUGUUUGAUUUUCUCCUUUCUUGGCAACUUACUUCUGCUCUUUCACAUGCUGGUUUGGAGUCCCCGAAUCUGAUUGUUGGUAUUGAUGUCACCAAGAGCAACGAGUGGACAUGUAACAGGGUUAGACAAGGGCGAGAUCAUUUGGUAGGAAUAGCCUGCAUUACAUUGGAACAACUCCAAACACUUAUCAGCAAGCUAUUUCCAUCACUGGAAAGACUUUAUCAGUUUAAGAUGAAAGAUUAGUUACUUUGGUUUGGACUUCACAGCCACAACACAUGAUCAAGAGGUCUUUAGUUUCAAUUCCAAUAAUAUGUAUUUUUUUACGGGUUUGAAGAAGUUCUUAUGUGUUACAGAAAGAGCCUCAUAGUGUUCGAUAAUCUAAAUACAACACUCUCAUAUUGAUUUAUUUACUGGAGAUAGUUAUAUUGGAAACCAACA